RNAcentral lists this ribosomal RNA (484 nucleotides) under uncultured bacterium. Its description in RNAcentral is "partial 16S ribosomal RNA". It matches the Rfam family "Bacterial small subunit ribosomal RNA", at positions 30 to 507 of the family's 1533-position model. The record is from RNAcentral.
AUUGAACGCUGGCGGCAGGCCUAACACAUGCAAGUCGAGCGGAUGAAGGGAGCUUGCUCCUGGAUUCAGCGGCGGACGGGUGAGUAAUGCCUAGGACUCUGCCUGGUAGUGGGGGAUAACGUCCGGAAACGGGCGCUAAUACCGCAUACGUCCUGAGGGAGAAAGUGGGGGAUCUUCGGACCUCACGCUAUCAGAUGAGCCUAGGUCGGAUUAGCUAGUUGGUGGGGUAAAGGCCUACCAAGGCGACGAUCCGUAACUGGUCUGAGAGGAUGAUCAGUCACACUGGAACUGAGACACGGUCCAGACUCCUACGGGAGGCAGCAGUGGGGAAUAUUGGACGAUGGGCGAAAGCCUGAUCCAGCCAUGCCGCGUGUGUGAAGAAGGUCUUCGGAUUGUAAAGCACUUUAAGUUGGGAGGAAGGGCAGUAAGUUAAUACCUUGCUGUUUUGACGGUACCAACAGAAUAAGCACCGGCUAACUUCGUG